AUUGAACGCUGGCGGCAGGCUUAACACAUGCAAGUCGAGCGGUAACAUUUCUAGCUUGCUAGAAGAUGACGAGCGGCGGACGGGUGAGUAAUACUUAGGAAUCUACCUAGUAGUGGGGGAUAGCUCGGGGAAACUCGAAUUAAUACCGCAUACGACCUAUGGGAGAAAGGGGGCAACUUGUUGCUCUCGCUAUUAGAUGAGCCUAAGUCGGAUUAGCUAGAUGGUGGGGUAAAGGCCUACCAUGGCGACGAUCUGUAGCUGGUCUGAGAGGAUGAUCAGCCACACCGGGACUGAGACACGGCCCGGACUCCUACGGGAGGCAGCAGUGGGGAAUAUUGGACAAUGGGGGAAACCCUGAUCCAGCCAUGCCGCGUGUGUGAAGAAGGCCUUUUGGUUGUAAAGCACUUUAAGCAGUGAAGAAGACUCUUCGGUUAAUACCCGGAGACGAUGACAUUAGCUGCAGAAUAAGCACCGGCUAACUCUGUGCCAGCAGCCGCGGUAAUACAGAGGGUGCAAGCGUUAAUCGGAAUUACUGGGCGUAAAGCGAGCGUAGGUGGCUUGAUAAGUCAGAUGUGAAAUCCCCGGGCUUAACCUGGGAACUGCAUCUGAUACUGUUAGGCUAGAGUAGGCGAGAGGAAGGUAGAAUUCCAGGUGUAGCGGUGAAAUGCGUAGAGAUCUGGAGGAAUACCGAUGGCGAAGGCAGCCUUCUGGCAUCAUACUGACACUGAGGCUCGAAAGCGUGGGUAGCAAACAGG
Molecule: ribosomal RNA, 755 nt
Filed under: uncultured Psychrobacter sp.
Lineage: Bacteria; Pseudomonadati; Pseudomonadota; Gammaproteobacteria; Moraxellales; Moraxellaceae
Description: bacterial SSU rRNA
Rfam family: Bacterial small subunit ribosomal RNA
Source: RNAcentral